GGAAGUGGAUAGGGCACUGGUGGCCCUCCCGGACUUCAAAUCCGGUGUGACGGGUUAACAGCCUGUCGGGUGGGUUCGAUUCCCAUGCACUUCC
Molecule: transfer RNA, 94 nt
Filed under: Desulfofustis glycolicus DSM 9705
Lineage: Bacteria; Pseudomonadati; Thermodesulfobacteriota; Desulfobulbia; Desulfobulbales; Desulfocapsaceae
Description: Selenocysteine transfer RNA
Rfam family: Selenocysteine transfer RNA
Source: Rfam by way of RNAcentral